RNAcentral lists this ribosomal RNA (253 nucleotides) under uncultured prokaryote. RNAcentral describes it as "partial 16S ribosomal RNA". It matches the Rfam family "Bacterial small subunit ribosomal RNA", at positions 525 to 777 of the family's 1533-position model. The record is from RNAcentral.
ACAGAGGGUGCAAGCGUUAAUCGGAAUUACUGGGCGUAAAGCGCACGUAGGUGGUUUUAUAAGUCGGAUGUGAAAGCCCCGGGCUUAACCUGGGAAUUGCAUCUGAUACUGUCUGACUAGAGUAUGCUAGAGGGAAGUGGAAUUCCAGGUGUAGCGGUGAAAUGCGUAGAUAUCUGGAGGAACACCGGUGGCGAAGGCGACAUCCUGGACCGGCAUUGACGCUGAGGCGCGAAAGCCAGGGGAGCAAACGGGA